Molecule: ribosomal RNA, 189 nt
Filed under: uncultured bacterium
Lineage: Bacteria
Description: partial 16S ribosomal RNA
Rfam family: Bacterial small subunit ribosomal RNA
Source: RNAcentral
ACUACAUGAAGCUGGAAUCGCUAGUAAUCGCGGAUCAGAAUGCCGCGGUGAAUACGUUCCCGGGUCUUGUACACACCGCCCGUCACACCAUGGGAGUCGGAAAUGCCCGAAGUCUGUGACCCGAAACCGAAAGGGAAGGAGCAGCCGAAGGCAGGUCGGAUGACUGGGGUGAAGUCGUAACAAGGUAUC